AGUUUGAGUCGGUUACACAGUAAGAUCAUCUUGUUAGAUUAUACAGAUGUACAGGUACAGUUUGAGUCGGUUACACAGUAAGAUCAUCUUGUUAGAUUAUACAGAUGUACAGAUGUACAGGUACAGUUUGAGUCGGUUACACAGUAAGAUCAUCUUGUUAGAUUAUACAGAUGUACAGAUGUACAGGUACAGUUUGAGUCGGUUACACAGUAAGAUCAUCUUGUUAGAUUAUACAGAUGUACAGAUGUACAGGUACAGUUUGAGUCUGUUAGACAGUAAGAUCAUCUUGUUAGAUUAUACAGAUGUACAGAUGUACAGGUACAGUUUGAGUCGGUUAGACAGUAAGAUCAUCUUGUUAGAUUAUACAGAUGUACAGGUACAGUUUGAGUCGGUUACACAGUAAGAUCAUCUUGUUAGAUUAUACAGAUGUACAGAUGUACAGGUACAGUUUGAGUCGGUUACACAGUAAGAUCAUCUUGUUAGAUUAUACAGAUGUACAGGUACAGUUUGAGUCGGUUACACAGUAAGAUCAUCUUGUUAGAUUAUACAGAUGGUUGUAUGUACAGAUGUACAGGUACAGUUUGAGUCGGUUAGACAGUAAAUUCAUCUUGUUAGAUUAUACAGUUGUACAGAUGUACAGGUACAGUUUGAGUCGGUUACACAGUAAGAUCAUCUUGUUAGAUUAUACAGAUGUACAGAUGUACAGGUACAGUUUGAGUCGGUUAGACAGUAAGAUCAUCUUGUUAGAUUAUACAGAUGUACAGGUACAGUUUGAGUCGGUUAACACAGUAAGAUCAUCUUGUUAGAUUAUCAGGCCCUAAUCUUACCGGCGAAAUGAGCGUUUUCUUCGCCGAAAGAAAGAAAUGUUUUAUUUAACAACGCACUCAACACAUUUUAUUUACGGUUAUAUGGCAUCAGACAUAUGGUUAAGGACCACACAGAUUU
This is a long non-coding RNA of Gigantopelta aegis, 945 nucleotides long. RefSeq lists it as uncharacterized. The transcript is spliced from 3 exons. The record is from RefSeq and is a predicted model, not a curated record. NCBI's taxonomy places the organism in Eukaryota, Metazoa, Mollusca, Gastropoda, Neomphalida, Peltospiridae.